This 253-nucleotide ribosomal RNA is filed under the name uncultured bacterium. RNAcentral describes it as "partial 16S ribosomal RNA". It matches the Rfam family "Bacterial small subunit ribosomal RNA", at positions 524 to 776 of the family's 1533-position model. The record is from RNAcentral.
GACAGAGGGUGCAAACGUUGUUCGGAAUUACUGGGCGUAAAGCGUGUGUAGGCGGCCAUAUAAGUCGGAUGUGAAAGCCCUGGGCUCAACCCAGGAAGUGCACUCGAUACUGUAUGGCUUGAGUACUGGAGAGGUUGGUGGAAUUCUCGGUGUAGAGGUGAAAUUCGUAGAUAUCGAGAGGAACACCGGUGGCGAAGGCGGCCAACUGGACAGAUACUGACGCUGAGACACGAAAGCGUGGGAAGCAAACAGG